UACGAGGGGAGCUAGUGUUGUUCGGAUUUACUGGGUGUAAAGGGAGCGCAGGCGGUCUUGUAAGUCAGAGGUGAAAUGUCUAUGCUUAACAUAGUCACUGCCUUUGAAACUGCCAGACUUGAGUAUUGGAGAGGGUAACGGAAUUCCAGGUGUAGCGGUGGAAUGCGUAGAUAUCUGGAAGAACACCAGUUGCGAAGGCGGUUACCUGGCCAAGUACUGACGCUCAGGCUCGAAAGCUGGGGGAG
This 245-nucleotide ribosomal RNA is filed under the name uncultured bacterium. RNAcentral's name for it is "partial 16S ribosomal RNA". It matches the Rfam family "Bacterial small subunit ribosomal RNA", at positions 524 to 768 of the family's 1533-position model. The record is from RNAcentral.